AUUGAACGCUGGCGGUAUGCUUUACACAUGCAAGUCGAACGGUAACAGGUCUUCGGAUGCUGACGAGUGGCGAACGGGUGAGUAAUACAUCGGAACGUGCCCGAUCGUGGGGGGAUAACGCAGCGAAAGCUGUGCUAAUACCGCAUACGAUCUACGGAUGAAAGCGGGGGACUCGCAAGGGCCUCGCGCGGACGGAGCGGCCGAUGGCAGAUUUAGGUAGUUGGUGGGAUAAAAGCUUACCAAGCCGACGAUCUGUAGCUGGUCUGAGAGGACGACCAGCCACACUGGGACUGAGACACGGCCCAGACUCCUACGGGAGGCAGCAGUGGGGAAUUUUGGACAAUGGGCGCAAGCCUGAUCCAGCCAUGCCGCGUGCAGGAUGAAGGCCUUCGGUUGUAAACGUGACUUUUGUACGGUAACGAAAAGCCUUCCUAAUAAAGGGGUGAAUGACGGUACCGUAAGGAAUAACGACCGGCUAACUACGUGCCCAGGCAGCCGCGGUAAA
This 505-nucleotide ribosomal RNA is filed under the name uncultured bacterium. Its description in RNAcentral is "bacterial SSU rRNA". It matches the Rfam family "Bacterial small subunit ribosomal RNA", at positions 30 to 524 of the family's 1533-position model. The record is from RNAcentral.